Molecule: ribosomal RNA, 140 nt
Filed under: uncultured bacterium
Lineage: Bacteria
Description: partial 16S ribosomal RNA
Source: RNAcentral
CACGUAGUUGGCCGGUGCUUCUUCUGUACCUACCGUCACUCGCGCUUCGUCGGUACUGAAAGAGGUUUACAACCCGAAGGCCGUCAUCCCUCACGCGGCGUCGCUGCAUCAGGCUUGCGCCCAUUGUGCAAUAUUCCCCA